Molecule: ribosomal RNA, 497 nt
Filed under: uncultured bacterium
Lineage: Bacteria
Description: partial 16S ribosomal RNA
Rfam family: Bacterial small subunit ribosomal RNA
Source: RNAcentral
GAUGAACGCUGGCGGCGUGCCUAAUACAUGCAAGUCGAGCGAACAGACGAGGAGCUUGCUCCUCUGACGUUAGCGGCGGACGGGUGAGUAACACGUGGAUAACCUACCUAUAAGACUGGGAUAACUUCGGGAAACCGGAGCUAAUACCGGAUAAUAUAUUGAACCGCAUGGUUCAAUAGUGAAAGACGUUUUUGCUUUCACUUUUGGUUGAAUCCCCGCCGCAUUAGCUAUUUGGUAAGGUAACGGCUUACCAAGGCGACGAUGCGUAGCCGACCUGAGAGGGUGAUCGGCCACACUGGAACUGAGACACGGUCCAGACUCCUACGGGAGGCAGCAGUAGGGAAUCUUCCGCAAUGGGCGAAAGCCUGACGGAGCAACGCCGCGUGAGUGAUGAAGGUCUUCGGAUCGUAAAACUCUGUUAUUAGGGAAGAACAAAUGUGUAAGUAACUAUGCACGUCUUGACGGUACCUAAUCAGAAAGCCACGGCUAACUACGUG